RNAcentral lists this transfer RNA (76 nucleotides) under Gemmatimonadota bacterium. RNAcentral's name for it is "Gemmatimonadetes bacterium tRNA-Thr". It matches the Rfam family "tRNA". Rfam says of the family: Transfer RNA (tRNA) molecules are approximately 80 nucleotides in length. Lineage: Bacteria; Pseudomonadati; Gemmatimonadota. RNAcentral also lists the same sequence under 1 other name. The record is from RNAcentral.
GCCCAUGUAGCUCAGACGGUAGAGCACUUCCUUGGUAAGGAAGAGGUCACCGGUUCAAGUCCGGUCGUGGGCUCCA